RNAcentral lists this long non-coding RNA (249 nucleotides) under Ricinus communis (castor bean). Its description in RNAcentral is "long non-coding RNA (RCOM_LNC001042)". Lineage: Eukaryota; Viridiplantae; Streptophyta; Magnoliopsida; Malpighiales; Euphorbiaceae. The record is from RNAcentral.
AGUGCUCCUGCUAAAGGUCUGAAAACCUGUCUAAGUGAUCUGCAAGAGCACCUAUCUGAGCACUAGAAGUGCUGGCAAUGUAUGAAGAUGAAGCACCAAGAGAGGGGGCAAAAGCACGUGUCAGGUUAGGUAAAUCUCGAGGUCGUAGCUCUGGUACGUCCACAGCUGGGUCUUAUGGUGCUUUAGCCCUAGCCUCCCUAACCUCCCACAGGAUCCGACUGACUAAUUUGUACUCAACAUCGAGGGGCC